This 493-nucleotide ribosomal RNA is filed under the name uncultured bacterium. Its description in RNAcentral is "partial 16S ribosomal RNA". It matches the Rfam family "Bacterial small subunit ribosomal RNA", at positions 28 to 507 of the family's 1533-position model. The record is from RNAcentral.
GACGAACGCUGGCGGCGUGCUUAACACAUGCAAGUCGAACGGUGAAGCGCCUUCCUUUUUGGUGGGUGUGGAUGAGUGGCGAACGGGUGAGUAACACGUGAGUAACCUGCCCCCUUCUUCUGGAUAACCGCAUGAAAGUGUGGCUAAUACGGGAUAUUCUGGGUCUGUCGCAUGAUGGGUCUGGGAAAGAUAUUGUUUCGGUGGGGGUGGGCUCGCGGCCUAUCAGCUUGUUGGUGGGGUGAUGGCCUACCAAGGCGGUGACGGGUAGCCGGCCUGAGAGGGUGGACGGUCACACUGGGACUGAGACACGGCCCAGACUCCUACGGGAGGCAGCAGUGGGGAAUAUUGCACAAUGGGCGCAAGCCUGAUGCAGCGACGCCGCGUGAGGGAUGGAGGCCUUCGGGUUGUGAACCUCUUUCGCCAGUGAAGCAGGCCUGCCUCGUUUGUGGGUGGGUUGACGGUAGCUGGAGAAGAAGCGCCGGCUAACUACGUG